GACGAACGCUGGCGGCGUGCUUAACACAUGCAAGUCGAACGGAAAGGCCCCCUUGUGGGGUACUCGAGUGGCGAACGGGUGAGUAACACGUGAGUAACCUACCCUUGACUUUGGGAUAACUUCAGGAAACUGGGGCUAAUACCGGAUAGGAGCUCCUGCUGCAUGGUGGGGGUUGGAAAGUUUCGGCGGUUGGGGAUGGACUCGCGGCUUAUCAGCUUGUUGGUGGGGUAGUGGCUCACCAAGGCUUUGACGGGUAGCCGGCCUGAGAGGGUGACCGGCCACAUUGGGACUGAGAUACGGCCCAGACUCCUACGGGAGGCAGCAGUGGGGAAUAUUGCACAAUGGGCGGAAGCCUGAUGCAGCAACGCCGCGUGCGGGAUGACGGCCUUCGGAUUGUAAACCGCUUUCGCCUGUGACGAAGCGUGAGUGACGGUAAUGGGUAAAGAAGCACCGGCUAACUACGUG
Molecule: ribosomal RNA, 465 nt
Filed under: uncultured bacterium
Lineage: Bacteria
Description: partial 16S ribosomal RNA
Rfam family: Bacterial small subunit ribosomal RNA
Source: RNAcentral